GCAGGGGCAAUUUAUGCAUAUCGUAGCUGCCGACAGUUGCAUCAAGAGCACAAAUACAAACACGGCAUUUAGUUGUGUUGGCAAUGUGUUUGGUAACGCGAAAAGCAGCUGUUCACCACUUAUCGACUAUCGAUAAACGGCAUACCAUUAACAGUGACUAGA
Long non-coding RNA from Drosophila hydei, 162 nucleotides. RefSeq lists it as uncharacterized. The record is from RefSeq and is a predicted model, not a curated record. Lineage: Eukaryota; Metazoa; Arthropoda; Insecta; Diptera; Drosophilidae. The transcript has 2 exons.